This 883-nucleotide ribosomal RNA is filed under the name uncultured archaeon. RNAcentral's name for it is "bacterial SSU rRNA". It matches the Rfam family "Archaeal small subunit ribosomal RNA", at positions 455 to 1337 of the family's 1478-position model. The record is from RNAcentral.
GUGGCAGCCGCCGCGGUAAAACCAGCACCUCAAGUGGUCAGGAGGAUUAUUGGGCCUAAAGCAUCCGUAGCCGGCUAUGUUAGUUCUCGGUUAAAUCCAUGUGCUCAACACAUGGGCUGCCGAGAAUACUGCAUAGCUAGGGAGUGGGAGAGGUAGACGGUACUCGGUAGGAAGGGGUAAAAUCCUUUGAUCUAUCGAUGACCACCAGUGGCGAAGGCGGUCUACCAGAACACGUCCGACGGUGAGGGAUGAAAGCUGGGGGAGCAAACCGGAUUAGAUACCCGGGUAGUCCCAGCUGUAAACUAUGCAAACUCAGUGAUGCAUUGGCUUGUGGCCAGUGCAGUGCCGCAGAGAAGUCGUUAAGUUUGCCGCCUGGGAAGUACGUACGCAAGUAUGAAACUUAAAGGAAUUGGCGGGGGAGCACCACAAGGGGUGAAGCCUGCGGUUCAAUUGGAGUCAACGCCAGAAAUCUUACCCGGAGAGACAGCAGAAUGAAGGUCAAGCUGAAGACUUUACCAGACAAGCUGAGAAGUGGUGCAUGGCCGUCGCCAGCUCGUGCCGUGAGGUGUCCUGUUAAGUCAGGUAACGAGCGAGAUCCCUGCCUCUAGUUGCCACCAUUGCUCUCAGGAGUAGUGGGGCGAAUUAGCGGGACUGCCGCAGUUAAUGCGGAGGAAGGAGGGGGCCACGGCAGGUCAGUAUGCCCUGAAACUCUGGGGCCACACGCGGGCUGCAAUGGUAGUUACAGUGAGUUCCGAAUCCGAAAGGAGGAGGUAAUCUUCAAACGCUACCACAGUUAUGAUUGAGGGCUGCAACUCGCCCUCAUGAAUAUGGAAUCCCUAGUAACUGCGUGUCAUUACCGCGCGGUGAAUACGUCCCUGCUCCU